RNAcentral lists this long non-coding RNA (361 nucleotides) under Oryza brachyantha (malo sina). RNAcentral's name for it is "long non-coding RNA (OBRA_LNC002219)". Lineage: Eukaryota; Viridiplantae; Streptophyta; Magnoliopsida; Poales; Poaceae. The record is from RNAcentral.
AUCAGAUAAGUUUUUACAAAUAGAUCGGACUAAACCGAGACAGUAUGUUCUCUAAUUCGAUAUAACCAUGGAAAAUAUGAAGAUCUAUUAAACCGAUGAUUUACUCAAAAUUAUGCGGCUUGAAUUCCAGCCAUAAGACCUCACAAGCACUCGAUCCAAUCUGCUGAUAUGAACUCAACCGACGAGAUUGAUCGGACUAUACUGAGGCAGAAUUAAAUCUGUCAAGCUCAUACUAACAUAUUAAAUGAAGAACUCGCAAGACCUUGAUCAAGAACCUAUUACUACUCCAAACAAAAAACAGAUCGAAAGCAAUAACAAGCCUUAGGUAAACUCGCCAAACUACUAGAUAGGAAAUCGAAUU